This is an RNA transcript of Cucurbita maxima (winter squash), 2094 nucleotides long. RefSeq lists it as uncharacterized. Lineage: Eukaryota; Viridiplantae; Streptophyta; Magnoliopsida; Cucurbitales; Cucurbitaceae. The transcript is spliced from 7 exons. The record is from RefSeq and is a predicted model, not a curated record.
UCUUCCUUACGUGUUCUGUUUUCUAUUUGCUUCCAAUGAAAGUCAUGCCGAUUCGAGGAAUCGAUGAUGUUGAUGAGAGAGAAGAUCCUUCUGUGAUUGUUGAGAAAGAGGUGACAGAAUCAGUUUCAAGCUCACCACAAGAUGUGCAAACUAACAGAAGUAGGGAAAAUGUCAUGAAGACUGAACCUUCUCAACAGAUUGGUAUGGAUGGAGAAACGAGCAUGGAGGCCUCCAUGUCUGCUGAUGAUGUUUUACGGGCUGGAGGGUUUGGUGCGAGGGAUGAUAUUGGCAGUUUUCUUCCUGUUGCAAGUGAUUCUACUGACUUUGAGGCUACAAUUCGCAGUGCUCGAGCAUAUGAAGGACCACAGGGGGAGAUUUCUAGACCAGGUCUUGGCUGGAAAGAAGCUACAAAAACUGAGUAGUUCUGCUUUGAGCAUUUUGUCUGUGUCCAACUUCAGUCAUUUGAGUGGCUUUCUGGAAGAUUCUUUGUCCCGGGGCAAGGAUUGAUAAUGGGUCAUAGGCAGAUUUCCUCUCCAUCAGUACCCUCCAUUUGGAGCCAAAAUGAGCUUGCCACUCGUCUUGGGAGCUAUAAUGAGGCAGAUAUUGCGUACAUCCAGGAAGAUCCCUGACACAGUAGUCCAGAAUUAUUUGGUUUUGGGCUAAAAUGUACUCUAAGCUUUGUUUUCCGGUUGAAGUUGGCAGUGCAGAAAAUAAGAAACCCACUAGAGUUGAAGUACAUGGCCAUUUCUAGACAAUACAGUGUUGUUCUAUCUGAGACGAAUUGGCUGGCUUGAACUGGAUCUUUGGGAUCAAAUGAAGAUCUCCAAUUAUUGAGAAUGCCAGUUCUAUUUAUUAGAACAAAGCCUUCAAUAUAAUCAAAGGAGUACUUGGUGGAUAUCAGAUGUUCCUGGUCCUUGGAGAAUAUGGCGAAGUCUGAAUACAAGGGUAUAUUACCAUUUUUGGUGCUGAUUCUAGAGAAAUCCUUGCCCUUGUGAUGAUGCCAAACUGACCAAGGCCUCCAAGUACACUGUAAAACAGGUCUGCAUUCUGCUGCGCUGAACAGAAUUCAAAGUGGAGACCGCUGUUGCUGAAAACAAUAAGUAUAAACUUUUAUUGAAAGGAGAGAAGCAGGGGAUGUUGAAGAUUGUCGGGUGAGGCCUAUUAAAAGCACUGUAAGUUGUUUUGAAUAGUAUUGAUUCUAUUAUUAUACUUGUUUUGAGAAAAGUCAGGUGACAAAGUGAGAUGAGCUGAAGCAAGAUAAAGAGUACAGUGGUGAGUUGAAAUGGACCAUCUGGAGUUCCUUGGGGAUGUUUGACGUAUGGAGAAUGGUCCAAAGUCUUAAAGGUAUUUGAUCACUGUAAGUAAGGUCAUGCGGGUCCCUCAACAUGUGAUCACCACGAGGAGCCCCACAGGUACAACAAUUCCCCUCACUCUCACCUUUACUCUCCAAGUUGAAUUUUCAAGAAAAUUCCUAAUUUCCAUUCUGCUUAAAGGAACAUGUUUAUUUGUGUAUUUUACACGCUUUACAGUAUCUUACACGAACUCUCUCUAGAUUAAGAAGUUUGAUUGAAGAACAUUAGUAGGGACAGUGAUUAGAAUUCUGGUAUGAAAUCUAUGCAUUCUCUCUCUAUGUGCAGCAUUUUCUUCUCUAAUAUAUACACCAUAUACCAUGUAGGAGAGAAUGGUGGGAACAGAUGGGUAUGUGAGGCAUGUAAAUCAAUGUCGCACUAACAGAACAUAGUACAAUUAUUGUAGUAGUUGUCUCUUCUGAGGAGGGGUUGUGACAGAAGCUUUAAAGAAAUCACCUCGAACACCUCGUGGUAGAAAGCUACUCGGUCGCCCUACCAAGUUUUACAGAUUGACAUCCAUCUUUUUGCAAGCUGCAUUGAUGUCGAUGUGCCUUGGCCAUUGGCCUUUUGAAUGAUAAGGAUUCUGAAUAGACAAUUUCAUGAGUUGAUUUCCAAGAGGGAGUGAGUUCUGAUUUUAGGAUAACAUUUUAAUGCUUGCUGCUUUAUGUGUGGUAUUAUUAUCAUUAUUGUUGUUGAAAUCUUAGUCCCUACAUCAUUUUAGAAAAAGAUUCACAUUUAAUAUUUA